CUUAUCGAGAGUGAUGGAGGGACUGGCCCAAUGAAAUCCGGCAACCAUACGAUGGUGCUAAAUCCUGCGGUACUUACCGAGAGAUAA
This 87-nucleotide non-coding RNA is filed under the name uncultured Veillonella sp. RNAcentral describes it as "SAM riboswitch (S box leader)". It matches the Rfam family "SAM riboswitch aptamer (S box leader)". Rfam says of the family: The SAM riboswitch is found upstream of a number of genes which code for proteins involved in methionine or cysteine biosynthesis in Gram-positive bacteria. The SAM riboswitch acts at the level of transcription termination control. Lineage: Bacteria; Bacillati; Bacillota; Negativicutes; Veillonellales; Veillonellaceae. The record is from RNAcentral.